This 3689-nucleotide long non-coding RNA is filed under the name Sus scrofa (pig). RNAcentral's name for it is "lncRNA (ENSSSCG00060002350.1)". Lineage: Eukaryota; Metazoa; Chordata; Mammalia; Artiodactyla; Suidae. The record is from RNAcentral.
AGGGCCACACCCGUGGCAUAUGGAGGUUCCCAGGCCAGGGGUCCAAUAGGAGCUGAAGCCAGUGACCUAUGUCAGAGCCACAGCAAGGCAGGAUCUGAGCUGCAUCUGCAACCUACACCACAGCUCAUGGCAAUGCCAGAUCCUUAACCCACUGAGCAAGGCUAGGGGUGGAAGCUGCAUCCUUAUGGAUGCAAGUUGGGUUCACUAACCACUAAGCCACGGUAUUCUUACGAGGAGAAAAAUAAAUGUCCCAUGUAAAGAAAUUUUUGCAAAGCUCCAAGUGCAUAAUGAGCACUCAGUAAAUGUUAGCUAUCAGCAGAAGCAGCACCUUCUACAGUUUUGCUGAUCUUUAAUCCAACUUGUUUGAUCACUUUUUCCUAUUAUAAGUGCUCUUCCAAGCCUCCUUCCUCCUCAGCUAUGGUUCCCCUGGAUUUCUAGUAAAGACGGCGAAAUCCUACAGGCUUAUCUGCUCUUCCUCUUUUUGACAUCUCACUAAAAUAAAAACACACAAAGCCACAGAGGCAUAGAUAAUGAGGGAGGAGACCAUCAAAGGAGGAAUUUCUAGAAAUGUUUAGUGGACAGAGAAGUAGAAAAUGCCUUAGCACAAUGGAGGAAAUGACUAGAGAGAGCAAUUCCACGAGAAAGUGAACUAAUAUGUUCUGCCCAGCCCCGAGAGACGGAGCGCUUAGCGGAAGGAAGCAUACUCUAAGGAAGGCAGGUGGGAGUUUAGGGAGAGGCUGAAAGUACAUUAAAAUUAUAUGGAACUAUAUCCAAUCUCUUGGGAUAGAGCACGAUAGAAGAUAGUAUAAGAAAAAGAAUAUGUGUAUAAAUACACACACACACACAUAUAUCUGUAUAUGAAUUGGUCACUAUGUUAUACAGCAGAAAUUGACACAACAAUGUAAAUCAAUUAAACUUUAAUUUAAAAAAAAAUAUGUGGAGACUUUGGGUCCCAACUACUUCUCUCUCCUGCUGGAGACGGAAUCUUUUCUGGAGAACACAGACCAGAAAGACAUCAAACUGAAGACAUCAGGCACUGUGACCAAAAAAGUGUGACCCAAGUCGAAAAAUAGAUGUUUGACUGAGGAGUUCCUAGUCAGACAACCAACCUGCUUAUAUGCCAUGUUUCCUGAACCCUAGCAGUCAGUUAUAUGUCCACAGGUGCAUAUCUCCCAGGAAUGAACUGGAGAAUCUCCUCAUAGUGAUACUGGAGAACUUCCCAAAGAACAAGCCACCUGAAAAACCCAUCAUGCUGUAUUGAGACUCCACAGCUGACAAGCCCCAUCCAUGUUCACAGAACUUUGAUAGUGUAUUUAGUCUUGUCAUCAUUAUUGUUUUGCUGUCUUUGAUAGUGUAUUUGUCCUUAUCAUCACAGUUCUGUUGUCUGUGUGUGUGCGAGUGUGUGUGUAUGUGUAAGUGAGUGAGAGAGCAACCUUUAAAUACAAAUGUACAGCCUCUCUAGGGAAUUAUCCAGGAUGAAGGAGAGGACAGAAUGAGCAAACCACAUCAACUGAGUAAAAAAAUCCACAGGAAACAGAGAGAAAGAGGAAAACCUCUAAAGAACUAUCAUUUGUGUAGAAGGAUAAUGUAUUGCUGACAUAAGAAUGGGUGCUAUUAAAAAGGCAAGAGCAGAGGACAGGAGAGUGUUGAAAUUGAAAACAAACAGCCAAAAUGGAAAACAAAUUUUGGCCGUUCCCUGGGCAUGCAGACCCUCUCGGAUCAGCGAUCAAACCUGCGCCACAGUGAUGACAACCCUGGAUCCUUAACUACUAGGCCACUAGGGAACUCCCAAAAUGAAACUUUUAAAAGAAAGUUUGGAAGAUAAAUUUGAAGAAAUUUCUAGAAGGUAUAACAAAACACCAAAGAGAUGAAAAAGAGGAAGAAAAGAGAGGAAAUUAAAGGGUUUGAUCUAGAAGGUCCAACUUCAACUAACAAGAAUCCCAGGAACAGAGAAAGUGAAGAAGAUAAAAUAAUCAGUGAACUAAUAAAAAAAAAACAAAAAAACAGAAUUAAAGAACCCAUAUAUCUGGAGUGAAAAGACAAGACCAAGACAAUUGAUCAUGAAAUACAGAGACAUCAAGGAGGACGAGACAGUCAUACAUUUCUAUACAGAGACAAAUAGGUUUUGAUAGACAUUGGGAUGUCACCAAUGUUAGAGAACAAUGGAAAGAAGCCUGCAAAGUGUUGUGAAAAUACAUUUGUAACCUAGAAUUCAAUUACACCAUGCCUGAGACACCAGAGAAUUCAAAGGAAGGACUGGUGGAGCCAGUAUAGUGCACAGAAAAGAUUCCCAAAGAGGAAAGCACAGAAGCUGUGCUUUAUCCUCCACAAUGAAACUAAAUGUAGAAACACGGGAAAGAGUAGGGGGUACUCUUAGCACUGCUCUGAGAUUCUGGAGGCCUGAGACAACAAUUUCUUUUUGCUAACACUAUUUUGGGUCAGGAUAACAAGAGGCUGACCAAAGCGAUGAAGUCAACCAGAUCUUGUGUUUUUGGAAAAAGGCACUAGUGUUUUCACACAGCUGAUACCUCUGAAGAGAUGGGUCAGUGAGCAACAUGCAGGAAACAAUAAAGGCCCAACACUCAUUUUGAAGUCAGUUUUGCUUAGACUUGGUAUACUGCCAGCAUCAAAUUUUGCAAGUCAUUAAAAAAAAAUUAUGAAGAAUGACCUUUACAAUUAACAAAUGACCCAGCAUUCAACUCUCCUGCAUGAUAAAGUGGAGAAGUGAUUUCUUUAUGCUGAUGAAAUUACAAUGGAAACUUUUAUUUAUAAUCCUAUAAUGCGGUGUUUUCAGAUGCUAAUUCUUACCUAAAAGGAAUGGAACAAAAAAAAAAAAAUUAAGACAGAAAACAAAUCUUGCUUGGUAUUUUAGUAUUCUUUUACAAAUAAUCCAGUUUAUCAGGAGUACCCAUCUUGGUGCAGCGGAAACGAAUCCGACUAGGAACCAUGGGGUUGUGGGUUUGAUCCCUGGCCUCGCUCAGUGGGUUAAGGAUCUGGCGUUGCCUGAGGCCAGGGAUCGAACCUGCAUCCUCAUGGAUGCUAGUCAGAUUUUUUAACCGCUGAGCCAGUCAGGCACUCCCAGUUUUCCUUUCCUUUGAAAACAGUAUCCGGAUUCCCUUUGGGGGAGCUUCCUCACUGUUCGAUGGGGCCGCUGUGACUGGCUCACGGUAGGGUCUACAACCUUAUUGUAUGGGAGCUGCUAGAGAGAAAAGCUCUCUUUUUCUGUUGGAUGAAAAACCUGGAAAGAUAUAGCUCUAGGAUUCUGACACUUGUGCUGUCCCAGGUGUAUGGAAACUGGGAAUGAAGCCACAAAUGGAGAGAGUUCUGAUAAUAGGACACAGAGAAUAACUAAGCCUCCUCAAGCGGUGAAAUCCAUAUGGAAUCCAUACUUGGCCUAAAACUUCAUGGAACCCUCAUUAAGUGGGGAAAGGAAGCCAUUAACAUACUGCAUGUAGAAGAAAUGCAUCCAGGACAUUUUACUGAGUGUGAAAAAAACCAGUGUGUAACAACUGCUUAUGGGUGUAUAAUACCCUUAACUCCACAAAGUCAAAUGCUGCUUUUUGAAUUGACUGAAGAGUGUAUUCUCAAGGGAGUGGUAGAAACCUGGUUGGCUGUCAGCAAGGCGAAAUGUCUCAGUAAAUGUAAUGUAAAAGUGCAAAACAGAUUUAAAAACACAAAUUUUCUUUCUU